CUCUUUCCUAUUUCAUUAUUACCCGGAUCUUGUGUUUACGUCGCAGUCUGAAGUUUCUUGCAAUGGGAUUCGCUAUUUGGAGACUAAUUAUGGUGAUUUUGAUCCACUGAUCAAGGACUUCCUCAGGCGACAAUUAGAUUAUUAACGUUUGGGCGAGUUUGACCAACAUUCGAUAUUGAUUAGUGGAAUUCUACAACAUUAAGUAGGUAAUGUUCGUAGUGGAGGCGUUUGGGAUUGAUUAUUUUGUCAAAAGCAUUGUAUCGCUAAACUCCCAGAUUUAAGAGUGUAGCACGUAAGUUUUGCCGAUCUUGAUCCGCUUAAUUUCUCCAUUUGUU
Photinus pyralis (common eastern firefly) is the source of this 335-nucleotide long non-coding RNA. RefSeq lists it as uncharacterized. The record is from RefSeq and is a predicted model, not a curated record. NCBI's taxonomy places the organism in Eukaryota, Metazoa, Arthropoda, Insecta, Coleoptera, Lampyridae. The transcript is spliced from 3 exons.